AAGCCAUGCAAGUCGAGCGUUCUCUAGCUGUUGAGAGCGCGGCGCACGGCUCAGUAGUACGCAGCUAACCUACCCUAAGGAGGGGGAUAAUCCCGGGAAACUGGGGCUAAUAACCCAUGUACCUCAGAGGCUGGAAUGCACUGAGGUUAAAAUGGCUAUUUCAGCAUGCUGGAAUGGUUGCCUUAGGAUGGGGCUGCGUCCGAUCAGGUAGUUGGCGGGGUAAAGGCCCACCAAGCCUAUGACCGGUGCGGGCUCUGAGAGGAGGAGCCCGGAGAUGGAUCCUGAGACAAGGGUCCAGGCCCUACGGGGCGCAGCAGGCGCGAAACCUUCACAAUGCCCGAAAGGGUGAUGAGGCUACCCCGAGUGCUAUCCGCAGAGGAUAGCUUUUGUUAGGUCUAAAAAGCCUAGCGAAUAAGGGGAGGGUAAGACUGGUGUCAGCCGCCGCGGUAAUACCAGCUCCCCGACUGGUCGGGAUGAUUAUUGGGCCUAAAGCGUCCGUAGCCGGUUCUUUAUGUGGUUCGUUAAAUCUAGCGGCUCAACCGCUGGGCUGCGAAUCAUACUAAAGGGCUAGGGGGCGGGAGAGGCCAAGGGUACUCCGCGGGUAGGGGUAAAAUCCGCUGAUCCGUGGAAGACCAACAGUGGCGAAGGCGUUUGGCCAGAACGCGCCCGACGGUGAGGGA
This 680-nucleotide ribosomal RNA is filed under the name uncultured archaeon. RNAcentral describes it as "bacterial SSU rRNA". It matches the Rfam family "Archaeal small subunit ribosomal RNA", at positions 46 to 704 of the family's 1478-position model. The record is from RNAcentral.